GACAGAGGCCCCAAGCGUUAGGCGGAAUCACUGGGCCUUAAAGCGUGUGUAGGCGGACGCCUAAGUGUCUUGUGAAAUCCCACGGCUCACCCGUGGAACUGCUGGGCAUACUGGGCGUCUUGGGCCAACUAGGGGCAGCCGGAACAAGCGGUGGAGCGGUGAAAUGCGUAGAUAUCGCUUGGAACGCCGAAGGUGAAAACAGGCUGCUGGGGUUGCGCCGACGCUGAGACACGAAAGCCAGGGGAGCAAACGGG
Molecule: ribosomal RNA, 254 nt
Filed under: uncultured bacterium
Lineage: Bacteria
Description: partial 16S ribosomal RNA
Rfam family: Bacterial small subunit ribosomal RNA
Source: RNAcentral